This 86-nucleotide microRNA precursor is filed under the name Petromyzon marinus (sea lamprey). Its description in RNAcentral is "microRNA pma-mir-29d precursor". Its record names the gene pma-mir-29d. The stretch from base 9 to 78 matches the Rfam family "mir-29 microRNA precursor family". Rfam says of the family: This family represents the microRNA (miRNA) precursors mir-29. The record is from miRBase by way of RNAcentral. Lineage: Eukaryota; Metazoa; Chordata; Hyperoartia; Petromyzontiformes; Petromyzontidae.
CUGCUCCUGGGAGCUGGUUUCACGUGGUGGCUUAGACUGUGAUGUGCCUUCUCUAGCACCAUAUGAAAUCGGUGUCCCUGGAGUUG